UAAGAAAGUAUACUUAAAACAAGAAAUCAAAUAAAGUAUAUCAAAUCAAAUUCCAUUUCCAAAUGGCAGUAAAGCGUGUGUUACAUAGAAUCAUUGCAUGAAAGUGUUUUAGUAGCCAAGAUGAGAUUGUACACUGCUGAAUAAGCAAGAGUUCUUUUUUCAUUUUCAUCUUCCAGUUCAACCAGGUAUUUGGGUUCUUUUUUCUAUUCACUCAUGUCACAUGGAGACCUGUGUUGUAAAUUACUUUGUCAGAAUGAAAGUCUGGCAGAUUAAAUUCUUUCUUCUCUUCUUGCUGUACUUGAUAAUGAUCUCUUGUUCAUUUUUUGAUAAUGCGUUUGCUUAUUUAUGUUCUCAUUGCUUUUAGAGUCUGAGAAGGCUUUGGGUUCCCAGUUCUGUGUGUUCCUGUCUGGCUCCUGAACCCAGCUGGAGAAAUAUGUCAGUCCCAACUGGUGAAGUACUGAGAGGAAGCUACACAAAAGGUAGAAAGUUUGAUGGGAAGGCCAUCCAGAGGAGGUGUAGGUGCAGCCCUUGUGAAAAGAGCCCUGAUAUGAUGACGUUGUGUAAAAAUCUUGCCUGUGUGUACCACAGGAUGUGUACUUGA
This 601-nucleotide long non-coding RNA is filed under the name Saimiri boliviensis boliviensis (Bolivian squirrel monkey). RNAcentral's name for it is "lncRNA (ENSSBOG00000036495.1)". The record is from RNAcentral. Lineage: Eukaryota; Metazoa; Chordata; Mammalia; Primates; Cebidae.